Long non-coding RNA from Quercus robur (English oak), 2008 nucleotides. RefSeq lists it as uncharacterized. The transcript is spliced from 2 exons. The record is from RefSeq and is a predicted model, not a curated record. NCBI's taxonomy places the organism in Eukaryota, Viridiplantae, Streptophyta, Magnoliopsida, Fagales, Fagaceae.
AACCCAAAGACCAAGACUUGGACAUGCAAUGAGCAAGCUCCACCUAAUCUCUUCUUUGACUUUCUCAAGCUCUAGGACAUCUCAUAAACUCUCUUGCUCUCAUUUUUCCACGGGUACACAUACAAAUCAGAAAUUUGAGCUCCUUUGCUCUCUUUUUCUCUCAAGGAAAGAGCUAGGAAGCUCUCUUAGGUCCACUUUGUCAAGCCCAUGGGUCCACAAAUUAAAAGAGAGAUAAGGCUUCAUCAUCUUUUCUUCUUUCUACUCUUUUAAAUGCAACUAGAAUAGUUAAGAGCUCUCUCCCUCUUUCAUUCCUACGGGUCCAACACCAAAAGAAGGAAAAGCUCUCAAUUAUUUUUCUCCCUUUCACACCUACAAGUCCAGCAGCAAGAAGGAAGCUUCUUUCAACUCUCUCAAGCUCUCUACCUCUCAUACUUUCUGGUCCAACCACUAGGAGAGGGAAAUCCUUUCAUGUGUUACCAGUAUCCAAGUCUAAGCUCCUUCGACUUUAGGCUCUCGAUUCCUCUGCUUUCAGGUAAGGGAUAAGUUAUAUGGGCAUUUGGUAAGUCAUGAGGUUAUUUUAAAGUAUACUAUGCAUUAAAAUGUUUUUGAUUAGAGAUAUGGCAUGUAAUCAUUAUUCUGACAAAGAUAUGUUCGUGAACUUUCGAAAAACUUAUGUAUAUGAUUUAAGCAUAUUGAUACUAUUAUUGAUUCCACGAACAUGAUGUUUAAAGAAAAGAAUAGAAAUGCUAUUAUUAUGAAAUGUUAUGCAAAAUAAGAAAUUUCAGUAUGAUGUAAAGUAUGAAAUGUUUUCGGGUUAUGUCCUCUGGUGAUCUGAACUCUGCCAAUAGGGGAUAAUUACUGGCUUUUCAUGGAAAAUGUUAUAUGAUUGGCCAUUAAGUGGGACUGGCUUUGCUGUACCCGCCCCUUGUUGGUUACGGCCAACUUGUGGGGGAAGCCAACCUACCCCCAUGGUUGGAAGAUAUGUAUUAUGAUGUGAUCCCGGGAAUACCUGACAUUGUGGGGAAUGCUGGAUGCCUAGCACCGUAGUGCUAGAAGCCUCCCAAAUAAGUACAAACUUAUCAGAUAUGGGCUAACCAAUAAGCUAUUUAUGAACAGCUAUAUUAUGUUAUUAAUCACGAGAGAAUGAUUUUGUUAAAUGCAUUGUGAAAAGUUAAAAGCUCUCCUGAAAAUAAGAAGUUUCUGAUGAAAAGAAAGCUGUUCAUUAAAGAUAAAAGUUUUUGAAGUUCUAUUGUGCUUUAAAGAUAAAGAAUCUGAUAGGUUUUAAUGUUCUAUAAAGAUAAAGUUUCUAAUGAAAGUACAAGUUUACAUUAAAAGUUAUCAGACAUCUGUUCUUUAUGAAUCGUUAAGUUUUAUGACUAUGAAAGUUAUAAUAUUUUACGAGAAGAGGUUUAUAAAGAAAGGUUUUCUUAUUAAUCAAGAUGUUUCUAGUUUAAUACAAAGUUACCGAUUAUCUGAUUUAAGUUAAAAUGAUUAUUUUGUAAUGAGAAUAUAUAUGGUGACUUUGUAGGAAAUGCUAGAAGUUUAAUCCGAAAGGUUUUGGUAAUAUUAAUCUGAUAAGAAAAAUGAGAACAAUUAUUUUCCUACGAAGAGUGUACAAGUUAUUAUCAUAAAUAGUAUAAAUACUAUGCAUGAAAAGAUGUUCUCCUAUCUGAAUAAUCAUAAAAUAAAAUGAUUUACAUGCAUCCUUAUUAAAUUCUCAUAUAUCUUACCUUUACUGAGCUGUGUAGUUCACCCCUUCCACUCUUUCAGUUAGCAGGUUUUAUUUUGGAGCAAAGGGAGCCUUAGUCGAGUUUGGAAGGAGCUGGUUUUAGUUUUAUAUGUAUAGAUCCUAAAUUAGCAAUUUGAUGUUUAGAUUUGUAGUAUUGUGUAUUUUAGGAUCUAAUGAAAGUGUAUACCUUAAAGUAUUUAGAGAUGUAUUAUGUGAAAUUCUGAAUUUGAACAAUUGGUGGAUUAUGUUAUAUUUUGAGUACAGUGUAGAUGCUCUGAA